Molecule: ribosomal RNA, 495 nt
Filed under: uncultured bacterium
Lineage: Bacteria
Description: partial 16S ribosomal RNA
Rfam family: Bacterial small subunit ribosomal RNA
Source: RNAcentral
GACGAACGCUGGCGGCGUGCCUAAUACAUGCAAGUAGAACGCUGAAGGAGGAGCUUGCUCUUCUGGAUGAGUUGCGAACGGGUGAGUAACGCGUAGGUAACCUGCCUGGUAGCGGGGGAUAACUAUUGGAAACGAUAGCUAAUACCGCAUAACAGUAGAUGUUGCAUGACAUUUGCUUAAAAGGUGCAAUUGCACCACUACCAGAUGGACCUGCGUUGUAUUAGCUAGUUGGUGGGGUAACGGCUCACCAAGGCGACGAUACAUAGCCGACCUGAGAGGGGGAUCGGCCACACUGGGACUGAGACACGGCCCAGACUCCUACGGGAGGCAGCAGUAGGGAAUCUUCGGCAAUGGACGGAAGUCUGACCGAGCAACGCCGCGUGAGUGAAGAAGGUUUUCGGAUCGUAAAGCUCGGUUGUAAGAGAAGAACGAGUGUGAGAGUGGAAAGUUCACACUGUGACGGUAUCUUACCAGAAAGGGACGGCUAACUACGUG